This 373-nucleotide ribosomal RNA is filed under the name uncultured Methanolinea sp. Its description in RNAcentral is "bacterial SSU rRNA". It matches the Rfam family "Archaeal small subunit ribosomal RNA", at positions 966 to 1338 of the family's 1478-position model. Lineage: Archaea; Methanobacteriati; Methanobacteriota; Methanomicrobia; Methanomicrobiales; Methanoregulaceae. The record is from RNAcentral.
CUCUACUUGACUAGCUGAGAGGAGGUGCAUGGCCGUCGUCAGUUCGUACUGUGAAGCAUCCUGUUAAGUCAGGCAACGAGCGAGACCCACGCCAACAGUUGCCAGCAUGUCCUCCGGGAUGAUGGGGACACUGUUGGGACCGCCUCUGCUAAAGAGGAGGAAGGAAUGGGCAACGGUAGGUCAGCAUGCCCCGAAUUAUCCGGGCUACACGCGGGCUACAAUGGUCAGGACAAUGGGUAUCGACACCGAGAGGUGGAGGCAAUCUCCUAAACCUGUCCUUAGUUCGGAUUGUGGGCUGCAACUCGCCCACAUGAAGCUGGAAUCCGUAGUAAUCGCGUUUCAAAAUAGCGCGGUGAAUAUGUCCCUGCUCCUU